This is a long non-coding RNA of Alexandromys fortis (reed vole), 1131 nucleotides long. RefSeq lists it as uncharacterized. NCBI's taxonomy places the organism in Eukaryota, Metazoa, Chordata, Mammalia, Rodentia, Cricetidae. The record is from RefSeq and is a predicted model, not a curated record. The transcript has 2 exons.
CCUUUCUCUGACGGCUAAAGGAUGUUAUAUUCAAACAUUUUUUAGGUGUCUCUCAGUCAUUUUUAAGUACGUUUGUUAAGAGUUUUUCAGUUUAGGUCUAUAACAAAUAUUUUUAUUGGAUUAAAUUUUUAAUAACUAAUUUCCUGAGUUCUUCACAUAUUUUUGGAAUGGAUUUAUGAUAAAUAAAGAUCUUUUCCCACUCUAGCCUUGUUAUACAAAAGGUUCUCAAUUCAGGAGAUCUAAUUUAUGGUUUCUCACAAUGUUUGUGCCACUGAGGCUGUGUUUACGAUGUGGCAAGGUGUACUUCAAAAAAUUUUUCUCUAUAAGUUUCAACAAAAUUUUUAUAUGCUGAAGCCUUUGGCUCAUUUGGGCUUAAAUUUUGUUCAUGGAGAUGGAUAUAGAUCUAUUUUCAUUCUUCUACAUGUUGGUGUCUAAUGAGACCAGCAUUACUAGUUAAAAAAUGUUUCGUUUUUCCAUUUUCCUAUCUGCAAGGCAGACUUGGAACUUAAGAGGAGGAUAGCUUACAAACUUUUAAUUAGAUAUUCAAUGAUUAAAGCCCUACUUAUAAUAUUCUUAUGGGAGACCUUGAGCUGCUAGGUAAAAUUCUUACAAAAAACAGUUUUCAAUAGAAGCCUUAAACGGGCUGCCUAACAGGUACUCAAACAGAUAAAGUAUAAAUCAACAGGUAAAGUAUACAAUAAUCAACAAAUACAGUAUAUUAAUUAUAAUUCAGCUAUGGCAAGAAUAUUUAUAUUAAGUAAAACUUAUUCUACAACAGUUUUAUAAAAAAUGCUGUUUAUGACUAAACCUUUCCAGUUUUGCCAGUUAAUAUUAAACUCUUAAUUUAGAACAGUAGCCUGUCUGAUACAAAAGGACAGGAUAACAUCUAGAAAAAAAUGGUUAGAUAGAAUAUUGACUAUAAUCAAUGUUUCCUAAACAAUAGAUUCAUUGAUAAUUUUAAGAUUGAUUCCUGGACAAUUGCCUUUGCUCAAUUCAAGGCCAAAAACGAUGAUCUUUUCCCAGAUCAUUGCCUGUAUUUUGCUAAUGUUAUGGCAAAAAAUCCCUUAAAGGAUUUUAUGCUAAAAUUUUACAAAUGGCUCUUCCAAUGGAGGAACUGCAUAUAUGGUUAAU